This 74-nucleotide transfer RNA is filed under the name Podarcis lilfordi (Lilford's wall lizard). RNAcentral describes it as "tRNA.Lys". The stretch from base 9 to 66 matches the Rfam family "tRNA", at positions 8 to 63 of the family's 71-position model. From Rfam's summary of the family: Transfer RNA (tRNA) molecules are approximately 80 nucleotides in length. Their secondary structure includes four short double-helical elements and three loops (D, anti-codon, and T loops). Lineage: Eukaryota; Metazoa; Chordata; Lepidosauria; Squamata; Lacertidae. The record is from RNAcentral.
GCCUGGGAUAGCUCAGUUGGUAGAGCACGAGACUCUUAAUCUCAGGGUCUUGGGUUUGAGCCCCACGUUGGGCA